RNAcentral lists this ribosomal RNA (414 nucleotides) under uncultured bacterium. RNAcentral's name for it is "bacterial SSU rRNA". It matches the Rfam family "Bacterial small subunit ribosomal RNA", at positions 351 to 782 of the family's 1533-position model. The record is from RNAcentral.
GCAGUGGGGAAUCUUGCGCAAUGGGCGAAAGCCUGACGCAGCCAUGCCGCGUGAAUGAUGAAGGUCUUAGGAUUGUAAAAUUCUUUCACCGGGGACGAUAAUGACGGUACCCGGAGAAGAAGCCCCGGCUAACUUCGUGCCAGCAGCCGCGGUAAUACGAAGGGGGCUAGCGUUGCUCGGAAUUACUGGGCGUAAAGGGAGCGUAGGCGGACAUUUAAGUCAGGGGUGAAAUCCCGGGGCUCAACCUCGGAAUUGCCUUUGAUACUGGGUGUCUUGAGUAUGAGAGAGGUAUGUGGAACUCCGAGUGUAGAGGUGAAAUUCGUAGAUAUUCGGAAGAACACCAGUGGCGAAGGCGACAUACUGGCUCAUUACUGACGCUGAGGCUCGAAAGCGUGGGGAGCAAACAGGAUUAGA